GAACGGACAGCCGCGUGGCUUCAUCGAAAGGUGCUGCCAUGAGGAAAGUCCGGGCUCCACAGGGCAAGAAUAACGGGUAACGCCCGCCGAAGGCGACUUCAGGAAAAGUGCAACAGAAAUAUACCGCCUUGCUUUUUGCAGGGUAAGGAUGGAAAGGCGAGGUAAGAGCUCACCCAUCACACGGGAACGUCGUGAUGCUGUAAACUCUAUUCGGAGCAACACCGUGGAGGAGACACAGGUCUGCCCGACCGUCUCCGGGGAGGUGGCUUGAGCGCAUCGGUAACGGUGCGUCGAGAUAGAUGGCUGUCGAUUACAGAACCCGGCUUAUAGUUCCGAUCG
This 339-nucleotide RNase P RNA is filed under the name human gut metagenome. RNAcentral's name for it is "Bacterial RNase P class A". It matches the Rfam family "Bacterial RNase P class A". From Rfam's summary of the family: Ribonuclease P (RNase P) is a ubiquitous endoribonuclease, found in archaea, bacteria and eukarya as well as chloroplasts and mitochondria. The record is from RNAcentral.